RNAcentral lists this ribosomal RNA (472 nucleotides) under uncultured bacterium. RNAcentral's name for it is "bacterial SSU rRNA". It matches the Rfam family "Bacterial small subunit ribosomal RNA", at positions 329 to 793 of the family's 1533-position model. The record is from RNAcentral.
GCAGAGCAUCCUACGGGGGGCAGCAUGGGGGAAUAUUGCACAAUGGGCGCAAGCCUGAUGCAGCCAUGCCGCGUGUAUGAAGAAGGCCUUCGGGUUGUAAAGUACUUUCAGCAGUGAGGAAGGUGGGUAUGUUAAUAGCAUACUCAUUUGACGUUAGCUGCAGAAGAAGCACCGGCUAACUCCGUGCCAGCAGCCGCGGUAAUACGGAGGGUGCGAGCGUUAAUCGGAAUUACUGGGCGUAAAGCGCAUGCAGGUGGUUUGUUAAGUCAGAUGUGAAAGCCCGGGGCUCAACCUCGGAAUUGCAUUUGAAACUGGCAAACUAGAGUACUGUAGAGGGGGUAGAAUUUCAGGUGUAGCGGUGAAAAUGCGUAGAGAUCUGAAGGAAUACCGGUGGCGAAGGCGGCCCCCUGGACAGAUACUGACACUCAGAUGCGAAAGCGUGGGGAGCAAACAGGAUUAGAUACCCUGGUAG